GGAUGUAGCUCAGUGGUAGAGCUCCCACCCAGCAUGUGAAAGGCCCUGGGUUCAAGCCCCAGAACUG
This 67-nucleotide transfer RNA is filed under the name Marmota monax (woodchuck). RNAcentral describes it as "tRNA.Ala". Lineage: Eukaryota; Metazoa; Chordata; Mammalia; Rodentia; Sciuridae. The record is from RNAcentral.